UGCCCCAUAGCUCAAUGGCAGAGCAAACGGCUGUUAACCGUGAGGUUGCAAGUACCCUUCGGGAACGCUUACGCGAACGACUCUUGCUGGGGCAGCCA
This 98-nucleotide transfer RNA is filed under the name Nostocales cyanobacterium LEGE 11386. Its description in RNAcentral is "tRNA-Asn". It matches the Rfam family "tRNA". Rfam says of the family: Transfer RNA (tRNA) molecules are approximately 80 nucleotides in length. Their secondary structure includes four short double-helical elements and three loops (D, anti-codon, and T loops). The record is from RNAcentral. Lineage: Bacteria; Bacillati; Cyanobacteriota; Cyanophyceae; Nostocales.